This 107-nucleotide small RNA is filed under the name Marmota monax (woodchuck). The record is from RNAcentral. Lineage: Eukaryota; Metazoa; Chordata; Mammalia; Rodentia; Sciuridae.
GCUGGGUGCCCUGGCGUAUGCCUGUGAUCCCAGUGACUGGGGAGGCUGAGACAGAAGGAUUGCAAAUUUGAAGCCAAUCUGGACAACUUAGCAGGACUCUGUCUCAA